UACGUAGGGUGCGAGCGUUGUCCGGAAUUAUUGGGCGUAAAGAGCUCGUAGGCGGCCUGUUGCGUCUGCUGUGAAAGCCCGGGGCUCAACUCCGGGUCUGCAGUGGAUACGGGCAGGCUAGAGUCCGGCAGGGGAGACUGGAAUUCCUGGUGUAGCGGUGAAAUGCGCAGAUAUCAGGAGGAACACCGGUGGCGAAGGCGGGUCUCUGGGCCGGUACUGACGCUGAGGAGCGAAAGCGUGGGGAGCGAACAGG
This 253-nucleotide ribosomal RNA is filed under the name uncultured bacterium. Its description in RNAcentral is "partial 16S ribosomal RNA". It matches the Rfam family "Bacterial small subunit ribosomal RNA", at positions 524 to 776 of the family's 1533-position model. The record is from RNAcentral.